RNAcentral lists this ribosomal RNA (447 nucleotides) under uncultured bacterium. RNAcentral's name for it is "partial 16S ribosomal RNA". It matches the Rfam family "Bacterial small subunit ribosomal RNA", at positions 330 to 794 of the family's 1533-position model. The record is from RNAcentral.
ACCAGACUCCUACGGGAGGCAGCAGUGGGGGAUAUUGCACAAUGGGGGGAACCCUGAUGCAGCGACGCCGCGUGGGUGAAGAAGCGCCUCGGCGCGUAAAGCCCUGUCAGCAGGGAAGAAAAUGACGGUACCUGAAGAAGAAGCCCCGGCUAACUACGUGCCAGCAGCCGCGGUAAUACGUAGGGGGCAAGCGUUAUCCGGAUUUACUGGGUGUAAAGGGGGCGCAGACGGCGAUGCAAGCCAGGAGUGAAAGCCCGGGGCCCAACCCCGGGACUGCUCUUGGAACUGCGUGGCUGGAGUGCAGGAGGGGCAGGCGGAAUUCCUGGUGUAGCGGUGAAAUGCGUAGAUAUCAGGAGGAACACCGGUGGCGAAGGCGGCCUGCUGGACUGCAACUGACGUUGAGGCCCGAAAGCGUGGGGAGCAAACAGGAUUAGAUACCCGAGUAAC